Long non-coding RNA from Zalophus californianus (California sea lion), 524 nucleotides. RefSeq lists it as uncharacterized. The transcript has 3 exons. The record is from RefSeq and is a predicted model, not a curated record. NCBI's taxonomy places the organism in Eukaryota, Metazoa, Chordata, Mammalia, Carnivora, Otariidae.
CAGCCCUCUCGUGCCAAAGGUUCUGGAGGCAUGAGGUGGGGGCACCGGACCUGAGCUGCUCCUCUCCCUGCUCAGUCUCCCAGGUUGAGCAAUUGUUCCCAGGAAUAUCUUUUAAUAUCCCAAAUUCUUCUGGGAUGGGUUACUAAAGGCCCUAAAGAUGAUCCCUUUCCGUCUAUGGAUGAAGAAAGUGUGCUCCAGAAGGAAAAGUGACUUGCCCAAGGACAUACGACCGGGCUUGGAACUGGGAGGGUGUCAGCCUGGAGCUGCCUUCAUUUGGAAAGUAACUGCUCCACAGUGAAGUCAACAAAGGAAGCAGAAAGAUGGGAGCCCAAGUCCUGGUGGCAUCAUUUGAACCCCUAGAUCCAGCUGUACCUGAAGCAGAUAAGCUCAAUUAUUUUUUGUUUGUUUGUUUGUUUCUUGAGUCAGUACAUUUCCUUUUCAUUUAAGCCUCUUGGAAUUGUGUUUUCCAUCUCUUGCAACCCAGGAUUAUGACCAAUACAGUGGCCUCAAGCCAGUUUUGCAGU